UGAAUACGAGAUGCUACGGCGUCGAAGCAGUGUAUGUCAGACUUCCAAGAAAAGCUCGCAAUGUCAUAAAUAAAGAAUGCCUGUACCAUAACCGACACAGGUGGGUAGGUAGAGUAUACUAAGGGGCGCGAGAUAACUCUCUCUAAGGAACUCGGCAAAAUAACUCCGUAACUUCGGGAGAAGGAGUGCCUUCUUUAAGAAGGUUGCAAUAACAAGAUCCAAGCAACUGUUUAUCAAAAACACAGGUCUCCGCUAAGUCGUAAGACGAUGUAUGGGGGCUGACGCCUGCCCAGUGCCAGAAGGUUAAAGAAGUUGGUUAGCUUUUGCGAAGCUGAUGACUGAAGCCCUGGUGAACGGCGGCCGUAACUAUAACGGUCCUAAGGUAGCGAAAUUCCUUGUCGGGUAAGUUCCGACCCGCACGAAAGGCGUAAUGAUUUGGAUACUGUCUCGGAGAGGGACUCGGUGAAAUAGACUUGUCUGUGAAGACGCGGACUACCUGCACCAGGACAGAAAGACCCUAUGAAGCUUUACUGUAACUUGAAAUUGAAAUUGGACUUUAUUUGCGCAGUAUAGGUGGAAGGCGUUGAAAGUAAUCUUGCGGGAUUAGUGGAGCCAUCAGUGAGAUACCACUCCUAUAAUGUUAGAUUUCUAACUUUGGAUCAUGAUCUGGUCAAAGAACAGUUUCAGGCGGGCAGUUUGACUGGGGCGGUCGCCUCCCAAAUGGUAACGGAGGCGUACAAAGGUUUCCUCUGAACGGGUAGAAAUCGUAUCUAGAGUGUAAAGGCAUAAGGAAGCUUGACUGUGAGACCUACAAGUCGAGCAGGGACGAAAGUCGGUCUUAGUGAUCUGACGGUGCUGAGUGGAAAGGCCGUCACUCAACGGAUAAAAGUUACUCUAGGAUAACAGGCUGAUCUCCCCCAAGAGUUCACAUCGACGGGGAGGUUUGGCACCUCGAUGUCGGCUCAUCGCAUCCUGGGGCGGUAGUACGUCCCAAGGGUUGGGCUGUUCGCCCAUGAAAGCGGUACGCGAGCUGGGUUCAGAACGUCGUGAGACAGUUCGGUCCAUAUCCGGUGUAGGCGUUAGAAUAUUGGGAGGAGCCUUCUUUAGUACGAGAGGACCGAGAAGGACAUACCUCUGGUGUACCAGUUAUCGUGCCAACGGUAAACGCUGGGUAGCUAUGUAUGGAGAGGAUAACCGCUGAAAGCAUCUAAGUGGGAAGCCCACCUCAAGAUGAGUA
Molecule: ribosomal RNA, 1237 nt
Filed under: metagenome
Description: bacterial LSU rRNA
Rfam family: Bacterial large subunit ribosomal RNA
Source: RNAcentral